UGAGCAACAUUUAAAAGAGCCAGAUGAAUCAGAAGAUUGUAAAAGUAUCUCCGCUUUCUCUGAAGCAGGUGAUGGUGUGAAGGAGGUUAUCUGGUGCUGUCAUUAUUAAGAGGGGCAAUAUCUCACUGCAAAAGAGGUGCUGAAGGCAGUGACUGUCCCUGGGGUAGCAGCAGAGGGAAGGUGUGUGUGUUUGCAGCCCGGUGCUAAGGCACACACACCGCUGACAGGUGCGGUGUGAACACGACACAAACUUGGAAACUAAAGUGAGACAUUGGUGGAAAGUGAAAAUGGAAAACUUUCCAGAUGCCAGGUGGAAAAUGAUAUUAAAGCUGUCAAAAUAAGUCACAACAAAGACUGGGUUUUCUCCUAGACUAACAGGAGUUCAUGUUCUGGGGUAGAAUGGAGGUUUCAACUACAAGGUGGAGUGUCAUAAAUGAAACAAUUAUGAGCAUUGGAGGUUAAAUCUGAACCUUUUUUGGGGGGGUUUUAUGCUUUGGUCUCUUUAUUUUUUCUUUUUCUCUUUCAAGUGCACUGCAGCAUUCCUGAUUUACUCUACAGUUUGUGGACAGGUCAAAAAUGUGUAAAUAAAUCCCACUGUUGUUGCUUCACAUAGUUAUCUAUUCUGGGCCUAAUUCCAAGCCCUGUUAAAUUGAUGGCAAUCCUUCCAUUGGCAUCAGAGGACUGCAGCUGAAAACCUGUGAUGGAGGUGCAAAGCAUCACCAGAGAGGAUGGAUAAACAGCCUCUGCAGUCAUCCAAAAUUGACAGAGAUAAUGAUGCCAUUGCAUUUGAAAAUAACAUCCAGCAACUGAGCCCAUCUGAAGAGGGGGAAGAAAAGGAAGUUUUUUCCACUGUUGGGGAAACAAAGAGUCAGAACUGCAAAGGGGGUGAUGAUUUGCCAGACUUAUUCAAUGAAAGUAAAGAGCAGGAAUAUCCAACUGCAUCAGAACAAACUGUUGUAAGAAAUCUCAAGAAUCUAAAAUUUGAGGCUUGUGCUGCACAUCAAGAAAAAGGAGAAAAACAACGUUUCAACUGUUUUUUCUGCACAUUCACCUCGGUCAAGUUAUCAAGUCUUAGGCGUCAUUUGAAAACCCAUUCAGAUGAGAAACGUCACGUGUGUCACCUCUGCCCGAAGGCCUUCCGUACAGCAACUCUGCUGCACAACCAUGUGAACACACAUACAGGGAACAAACCCCAUAAAUGCAGUGAGUGUGACACAGCCUUUGUGACCCGAGGGGAGCUUUCACGACACAGGAGGUACAAACACACUUUGGAGAAGCCUUUCAAGUGCACAAUAUGUGAAUACUCCAGUGUAGAAGCCAGCAAGAUGAGACGCCACGUUCGCUCGCACACGGGAGAGCGGCCCUACCCCUGUCACCUGUGCAGCUAUGCAAGCAAAGAUGCCUACAAACUGAAAAGGCACAUGUUAACUCACACUGGUGAAAAACGCUACCAAUGUUAUGUUUGCCAAGCCAGAUUCACUCAAAGUGGUACCAUGAAAAUCCAUAUGUUACAAAAGCAUGGAGAAAAUGUGCCAAAAUACCAAUGUCCACAUUGUAGUACUUUCCUUUCUCGAAAAAGUGAUUUGGGUGUCCACCUGAGGAAUCUGCAUUCCUACAUGGAAGAGGCAGUGAAGUGCAGGGACUGUGAGGCAACUUUCCACGAGCGCUACGCUUUCCUUCAGCACAGGAAGACUCACAGGAAUGAGAAAAGGUUCAGAUGUGCUCAGUGCAGCUGCACAUGGAGCCAGAGUAAUAUGUGUAAGCAUGCUGAAAAUUGUGGAUUGGUGAGGGCAAAAACUGCUACACCCAGAAAAGGAAGCAAAGGCAAAAAUAAAAGCCACGAGAACCCGAAGCGUGCUAAGCCAGAAGUUGCCCUAAAAUCAUUCCAAGAUGACUCUACUGUGAAAAAUGAACAUUGUGCCAGUGAGAUUGCUCCUGUUUUAGAUGGGACAGAAACAGCAACUCCAAGGGAACACAGGACAGAAGCAACUCAUUAAGUGGAUCCUCAACAUGAUGGACAAAUAAUGCACAAACAGACUGGUCCUCCCUGUUCUCAGUAGUUGUAACUGAGCAGUUCAAAGUGUGGAACUACCUCCAGUUAGAAAGGUGGAAAAGCUGCUGGUUGGAAGCUGUUGAAGCCCUUCUGUUUCUUCUUGCUGCAGUUUCUACUGUGUAACCUAAAUACCUUUGCAAAGUGUGAAAGAGGCAACUUCCACCUGGUUUAUUACAUACUUCUAAUAACAGAAUGGGGACAAGCUGCUUAUUUCAGAGUCAUUUUUUAAAGUGUGGAUGGCUUGUUUCCCCUUGCAUUUGUUUGUUUCCAGCUUUACUCACAGAACUGCAGACUGAUCUGAGGCAAAUUUAUCCCUCAGUAUCACAGAGAGCUGCCUGAAUUUCAAUGUUUAUACUUUGCUGAGGUGAGCACAUGAAAGGCAAUGAUUUUUUAGUACAAGGUACAUUUACUAAAUCUCCUUUCUGCAAACACUUGAGUUUGUAAUCGAAUUCAUGAUGCAAUAGAAAUGCCUGACAAUUUUAUGGGGAAGCAACUUUUUUUAUGCCUCAUACUACUGGUAAUUAGAAACUAAUCUUUUGUCUGAGUUUUUCUCAGCUCAGGUAGCUGGGCAGACAGAACUGAGUGACAAAAGUGGAGCAGGGUGGCAGAGAAGUGUGGAGGAUCCCCUCAUUCUGGUCUGUAAAACCUUCUGUGACCUUAAGCUGACUCUCCUUUGAGUGCUGGUCAGUGCUUAAGCUGAUAGGAAGGCACUGUGGCAGCAUGACUAACAGCCAUGGGCACGAGUGGUGUGCUGCAUCUUGGAAGGAGCAAACACAGAGUUUCAUCUGCUGGUAAUGGGAAGAUCCAAAGAGGAGACACAGACUCCAUAGUCUAAAGGCCUUUCUAAAAUUGAACUAUUAUUGAUUUUAUCCCUGCCCUAUCCACAUAACAACAUCUGCAGCUAAUGGAAGGAAUGCAGAGGAGUGACACUGCUGAUGGAUUUGAUAAGAAAGAAUCUUGCUUUUAUUUCCAACUAAUUAAAUGGUGAAAAGGAAAUAGUCACAUUCUGAAGCAGGGAAGUAAUUGUGAUUUAAACAUAAAAUUACCAUUUAGUGUUGAACCCUUUGGUGAAUACACAAGCUGUUGUUACUUCACAACAAAUAUCAAUAAGCAGCAUGAGGGAAUUUUUCUUUCACCAGAGGAAGCAAAAUGUUUAUUUUUGCAAGAAGUUGCAGAGUUUGUUUUCUGUUAAAGCUCCACAAAGGAUGACAAUUACCCAAGCACUGGUGGGGAAGCUCUGCAGUGCCUGGAGGAACAAAUCCUCUCAAUUUUCCUUCUGCAACAGAAGUGAUGAACCCUGGAUCUCUGUGGACAAAAGGAGUUGCACCACUCAGAUAUUCAGUGUUAUCAGUUUGGUGUCAGUUAAAUCACUUCAUUUUGUUGCCAUGGGGUCUUUGUGGUGAGUUUUAAAAAAAUGAGCUUCAUAAGGAGCCUGUUGGUGAUGUACCAGGGAAGAAAAUUGUCUGACAGUGUCACCUAAAAUUCAGGACAGCCCUGCUGAGAGGGGACAAGGAUGAUGCUCCCAUUGAAACCCUUUGCUGAUGUCCUCUUGCUUGUGUGGAGCUCUUAAUUUCAAAGCAAUUGCUCUGUGCAAGUGACAUCUCUUGUGUCAUCCUGAGUGGGCACAUCCUCCCUGCUGCUGCUGUUCCCAGCCUUGGAAAAGACAAUUUUCUGCAAGUUUUGGUUCUCACAUCCUCAGCUCUUCAGGCUGUGAGGAGGAAACCAGUGUGGCAGGGCUGUGUCCUUCCUGGAAAUGCUCUGGGAUGCCCUGAGUGCUGUGACCCCACUGCACCCUGAGCACCAGACCCCUCAGAGCUGAGCUUCAGCCUUAUUUCCUGAAGAAAUGGUGUUCUGGAGUGUGCAACCAGAAGUAACCAAGGGGCAGGAGCUGGAAGCUGAAACUGUUCCCAGCCUGAUGUCAGGGGACAACCUCUGAUGUUUGCAAUGGCACAGGAGCCACCACUGCUGCUCUUCUGCCCAAACCCUGUUGGGCCAGGCACUGCACUGGUGCAGAGGAAAAGCUGUCCCUGCCCUGAAGAGAUCCCAGGCUCACAAGCAACAGUCCCUGCCUGGAAGGAAACCCUUCUCCCUCUGCUGCAUCUGGAGACAUGGGCCAUUAUGUGAGUGUGUUUUGAGGGAGGGAAAAUUUAUCUGGAAUUCAGCACUUCUGGAGGUUUCAGAUGAAGACAGAGCACUUGAUGAUUCUACUACUGACAACAGCUACUGAACAAUUUCAUACAGAGGAGGACUUGGCUCAGCCUUCCCUAAAUUUGCCUUGAAUGCAACAUCCCUGCUUGAUCAUAGCUGGAGCUUCCUCUCAUCAAAGGCAAUACUGAUUUCUCCAGGCUGCUACAGCAUGAACAGAGCCCAUUUCAGAGGAGCUGCUCUGGAAGUGCCUUUGGGUCCUGCAGUCUCAUCAGACAGGGAGCAGAACCCCUGGGCAGCCCCUCUGUAUGCUCAUGGAGCUCCAGAACAUCAACCCCAUCACUCCCUGGGCACAGCAGCACUGGGGGCUGUGGGAUGAAGGCACAGCACUGCCCCUCUCCCAGCCCUGCUCUGCUGCUGCCAGGCAUUACAACGCAGAUUUUCCUCUUGCAAAGGCUCCAGCUCUGCAGACAGCCACUACCCUCACUGCGGGGAAAUCAGUAGGAUGUCUUGGGGCAAAGGUAAAACUAAAGUACAUCAGUAAAUGUUUGCAGGAUCAGGACCUUAUUCAGGCAUAAAUCAAGUAGCUCCCGCCAACAAUAGAAUUACCUAAGUAUAAAAUCCCAUGUAAGCCAGUAAGAUCAGCUCCAAACCUGCUAUGAAUUUGCUUUUUGUUUCCAUGCCAAGAAUAUAUCACUUCUAACUGCUGCAAUCAGGGCUGGUCCUUUCAGGUUUUUUGGAGUGCUCUUGGGCACGUUUAUUUCCCGUCUCCAGCAGAUCCACACGGAGCCUGGCCCUCCUUUCCCUGGGGCAUGUCCCAGCCUGCUUCACCCACAAUAAAUUGUCGUUAUCAGAGAA
Oenanthe melanoleuca is the source of this 5056-nucleotide RNA transcript. It is a transcript of the gene named CCCTC-binding factor like, with no coding region annotated. The record is from RefSeq and is a predicted model, not a curated record. NCBI's taxonomy places the organism in Eukaryota, Metazoa, Chordata, Aves, Passeriformes, Muscicapidae. The transcript is spliced from 24 exons.